CAAAAUUUACCGAAAUGGGCCGAUUUUUUGAUUAUUUACCGGAAUGGUCUAUUUUCCGAGAAAUUGCGUCCACGUCAGUGCGAUGUCCUGACACGUAGCGCGUUCUCGGGGACGCGAUUUUGACGUUGAUUUCACGUUUGGUUUUUCUGGCUUUUAGGGUUUAGGGGUCCCGAAAUAAAUUAUUUCGAGUUGACGUUUCUGGUCAAAUAGUAUAAAAUCGCGCCCUCGAGGAUGCUAAUUGAGAAGAAAUUGUGAAAUCG
Molecule: long non-coding RNA, 260 nt
Filed under: Gossypium barbadense (sea-island cotton)
Lineage: Eukaryota; Viridiplantae; Streptophyta; Magnoliopsida; Malvales; Malvaceae
Description: long non-coding RNA (GBAR_LNC018836)
Source: RNAcentral